RNAcentral lists this ribosomal RNA (468 nucleotides) under uncultured bacterium. Its description in RNAcentral is "partial 16S ribosomal RNA". It matches the Rfam family "Bacterial small subunit ribosomal RNA", at positions 28 to 507 of the family's 1533-position model. The record is from RNAcentral.
GACGAACGCUGGCGGCGUGCUUAACACAUGCAAGUCGAACGGAAAGGCCCGGCUUUUGUGGGGUUCUCGAGUGGCGAACGGGUGAGUAACACGUGAGUAACCUGCCCUUAACUUUGUGAUAACUUCAGGAAACUGGGGCUAAUACCGCAUAGGAUCUCCUGCUGCAUGUUGGGGGUUGGAAAGUUUCGGCGGUUGGGGAUGGACUCGCGGCUUAUCAGCUUGUUUGUGGGGUAGUGGCUUACCAAGGCUUUGACGGGUAGGCGGCAUGGGAGGGUUACCGGCCACAUUGGGACUGAGAUACGGACCAGACUCCUACGGGAGGCAGCAGUGGGGAAUAUUGCACAAUGGGCGGAAGCCUGAUGCAGCAAUGCCGCGUGCGGGAUGACGGCUUUCGGGUUGUAAACAGAUUUGGACUGUGACGAAGAGUGAGUGACGGUAAUGGGUAAAGAAGCCACGGCUAACUACGUG